UAAGCGAGUGUUUUUAUGGCACUUUUUAAAAAUCCAUAUCCACCUUGUGUGCAAUGUUAGAUCUCGUCAAUCUUGGCGAGAUUUUUAUACAUCAACUCAUUCUUUAACUAAUUUGUCUGAAAAAUAUUAUGAAUACUUAAUUCAAAAUA
Molecule: unclassified non-coding RNA, 149 nt
Filed under: uncultured Mortierella
Lineage: Eukaryota; Fungi; Mortierellomycota; Mortierellomycetes; Mortierellales; Mortierellaceae
Description: sequence contains ITS1
Source: RNAcentral